GAUUCUGGCUCAGAACGAACGCUGGCGGCGCGUCUUAAGCAUGCAAGCCGAACGGCAAGAGGUAGCAAUACCUCCUAGAGUGGCGGACUGGUGAGUAACACGUGGGUGACAUACCCUUCAGAUGGGGAUAGCUAUUAGAAAUAGUAGAUAAUACCGAAUACGAGCACAGGGGUUAGAGAUCUGUGAGGAAAGGAGCUAAGGCUCCGCUGAAGGAAUGGCCUGCGGCCCAUUAGCUAGUUGGUGAGGUAAGAGCCCACCAAGGCGAUGAUGGGUAUCCGGCCUUAGAGGGUGAACGGACACAUUGGGACUGAGAUACGGCCCAGACUCCUACGGGAGGCAGCAGCUAAGAAUAUUCCGCAAUGGACGAAAGUCUGACGGAGCGACGCCGCGUGGAUGAAGAAGGCCGGAAGGUUGUAAAAUCCUUUUGAAACUGAAGAAUAAGCGUUGUAGGGAAUGACAGCGUGGUGACAGUUAGGUUUUGAAUAAGCAACGGCUAAUUACGUGCCAGCAGCCGC
Molecule: ribosomal RNA, 515 nt
Filed under: uncultured bacterium
Lineage: Bacteria
Description: bacterial SSU rRNA
Rfam family: Bacterial small subunit ribosomal RNA
Source: RNAcentral